UGAUUCUUCCAGCUUCUGACACUCGGCAGUUUUGGGACUCCCUGUGCUGAAGUUGCAUCUCAAGCAUUGUUUUUAUGAACCACUGAGUGAGGAAGCAACAAUAGGAACAAUGGAUCACUGUUCAGCAUCAGUGGCAACUGCACUUAGAAAUAAGUAACAGUGCCACUUCAAAACGCUUGACAUGGACAACAGAGACAGAAGAGCCAGGAAAUUAUGGUAGUGCUAAAGCCACACCCACGGCCAGAGGCAACAUCUCACAGCUCCUCCAAGUUGUGAACGCCUUGGGAGCUGAGAGUCCCUACCAUGCAAAGAGAAAAUCAUUUGAAAAAUGACAGUGUCUGAAGAAUAAUGGGAAUUCAAAGUCUGGCUCCAAAUUUCCUUGUGAAUCAGUCUGCUUCUCUGCAUCUGCAGAAUGGGACAGUGUUUCUCCAUGAUGUGCUUGUUAAAAGAGGUGAAAUAUCUGGAAAAAAAUAG
This 474-nucleotide long non-coding RNA is filed under the name Parus major (Great Tit). RNAcentral's name for it is "lncRNA (ENSPMJG00000017015.1)". The record is from RNAcentral. Lineage: Eukaryota; Metazoa; Chordata; Aves; Passeriformes; Paridae.